CCGAGGGGGCGGGCCGCCGGCGGGGCUCCCCCGCCAACUUGGGCGGGGAGGAAGGCGGAGGCGUCAGUGGGCACCUUUCCGAGGUGCUGCGUGCGGGCUGGAAGGCUGCCUGGUGUCACAUUGGGGCGAGUGGACGGUGGCGGAGCCGGAGAGCCCGGGGCUGAGGACCUUUCAGGCAGAAGCCAGCCAGAGGUCCCGUAGUGCUUAGAAGUGGAUCCCCCCAAAUCGCAGCCCCACCCCCACAACCCUGGGCGGCAGAGUGACAGUUGGUACCUCCUGGCCUGAUCGCAGCGGGCCAAGAGUCAGCGGCUUUGGGAUUCCCUUCAGCCCCUCGAUGACCCCCAACGGCAUAACAGGUUGAAGGCAGGGUGAGUGGUGCCGGAGGACAGACCUCGCCAUUCGAUCGUAUUUAGAAGAUAGCCACCCACUCGGAAGGGAAAGCUACAGUGGCCGAAGAAGCUGUGAUCUUUCAAGCAGGGCGCUGCCACUGGAGCACAGAGGAGGGUAUACAGAAGACAGCACGGGUGAUGGAGAUGAACGGGAACACACGGAGAAGCUAGUAUCCUGCAGGAAGCCAAGAUGAGGAGAGUCUUUUUAAAAUAAUCC
RNAcentral lists this long non-coding RNA (606 nucleotides) under Rattus norvegicus (Norway rat). RNAcentral's name for it is "long non-coding RNA NONRATT003715". The record is from RNAcentral. Lineage: Eukaryota; Metazoa; Chordata; Mammalia; Rodentia; Muridae.